This 46-nucleotide ribosomal RNA is filed under the name Aspergillus wentii. Lineage: Eukaryota; Fungi; Ascomycota; Eurotiomycetes; Eurotiales; Aspergillaceae. The record is from RNAcentral.
AUAGUGCAAUGCAGGAUAUAGAUGAAAGCAACCGAAGGAGACAAGU